RNAcentral lists this ribosomal RNA (104 nucleotides) under Paenibacillus cellulositrophicus. RNAcentral describes it as "partial 16S ribosomal RNA". It matches the Rfam family "Bacterial small subunit ribosomal RNA", at positions 1430 to 1533 of the family's 1533-position model. The record is from RNAcentral. Lineage: Bacteria; Bacillati; Bacillota; Bacilli; Caryophanales; Paenibacillaceae. RNAcentral also lists the same sequence under 1 other name.
GUGAGGUAACCGCAAGGAGCCAGCCGCCGAAGGUGGGGUAGAUGAUUGGGGUGAAGUCGUAACAAGGUAGCCGUAUCGGAAGGUGCGGCUGGAUCACCUCCUUU